AAUCUGUUCGAUCUUCAUCUUCAUCCCCUGAAUCGGAAAAUCGUACUCGAAACAAUUUUCUCGACAAAACAACUGUAAAGGGAAGAAAAUUCCAAGCCAGUCGCUGUCCGCUGUAAUCCAGUCUCUCUCUCUUUGGCGCUAAUUAAAUAGCAGAUCUGAAGCGCACGCCAUUGAAGUUUCAAUCUUCUCUUUACGAGAUUCCUCCGCAUAUUCUGCCACGGCAAGCUUCAGGUUCCGCCAUUUGAGAUCUGCUUCGACUUCAGUGGCAGAAUCUUCAAGUUGAAAAGAACAUAUAUCGAGUCUAAUGGCUGUGAGGAGACCUGGAGUCAUUGCUUUAUUUGAUGUUGAUGGGACUCUAACAGCUCCUAGAAAGGUUGCUACUCCAGAGAUGUUGAAAUUUAUGGGGGAGCUCCGAAUGAUUGUUACAGUUGGUGUUGUGGGAGGAUCUGACCUUUCAAAGAUUUCAGAACAGCUUGGAAACUCAGUUAUUCAUGACUAUGAUUAUGUGUUCUCUGAGAAUGGACUUGUGGCACAUAAAGAUGGGAACCUCAUUGGCACCCAGAGCUUGAGAUCACAUCUUGGGGAAGAAAAUCUCAAGAAUUUUAUCAACUUUACACUUCAUUAUAUUGCCGACUUGGAUAUCCCUAUAAAAAGGGGAACGUUUAUAGAGUUCCGAAAUGGGAUGCUUAAUGUCUCACCAAUUGGGCGAAACUGCAGCCAAGAAGAAAGAGAUGAAUUUGAGAAGUAUGAUAAGGUUCAGAAUAUACGUCCAAAAAUGGUUUCUAUCCUCCGGGAGAAAUUUUCCCAUCUUAAUUUGACAUUCUCCAUAGGAGGGCAGAUAAGCUUUGAUGUCUUCCCUCAAGGUUGGGACAAGACAUAUUGCCUGAGGUACCUUGAAGAUUUUAAAGAAAUCCACUUCUUUGGCGAUAAAACUUACAAGGGAGGAAAUGAUCAUGAAAUUUAUGAAUCUGAACGAACCGUGGGCCACAAAGUUACUAGCCCCGACGACACCGUGGAGCAAUGUCGAGCCAUAUUUUUCUAAAAAAAUCCAAGAGCCGAAGCAUAAAAUGUCCAAUUUUAUCUAUAUUGAUAUUUCAAUAGAGAUGACUGAAUUCUGUAUAGUUUCCCAAGAAGCUGAAUUAUAGUACACCAAUCCCAGCUACGAUUAUAGGAGAUGGAUGGUCAUUGAGGAGGAAGUCGAGCCAUCCAAGAGAGCAUUGUGGAAGGCGUGGAGGGAAAUCUUUGAACCGUGAAUCUGAUCGAUGGAGUAGGACGCGAAGAAUCGACGCGGUUUCUUCAGCACCACGACGAAGCGGGAGGAACGGUGCGUGGCGAUUAUCGUGAACAGCAACGGGGAGAGAUUGAUGUCGGCGUCGUCGGCGAUUUGAGUGAGGAGGGAGGUGGCGUUCAGAAAAGGAGCAAUGUGAUCAAGCCUGAUCAAGAUCAUGGUGUUCUUGGAGAAUAUUGAUGUGUGGAAAUGGAGAGAAAAAAAUGAAAAGAGGGACGAAAUUUUUGUUUAAACAAGUCUCUCCCAAUCGAAGUAACUUGUUUUAUAGUGUUGGAGCUCUUUUGUUCUGGUACAGAUUAUAUUAAAUUUGGUAUA
RNA transcript from Momordica charantia (bitter melon), 1603 nucleotides. It is a transcript of the gene named phosphomannomutase, with no coding region annotated. NCBI's taxonomy places the organism in Eukaryota, Viridiplantae, Streptophyta, Magnoliopsida, Cucurbitales, Cucurbitaceae. The record is from RefSeq and is a predicted model, not a curated record.